AGUUAAAAGCGCAAGGAACAAGCCUAAUGUCUUGAAAACAUUAAGAAAGAAGUUCAAAUCUUCUAUUAACUU
Molecule: transfer RNA, 72 nt
Filed under: Dolichorhinotermes tenebrosus
Lineage: Eukaryota; Metazoa; Arthropoda; Insecta; Blattodea; Rhinotermitidae
Description: tRNA-Ser
Rfam family: tRNA
About the family: Transfer RNA (tRNA) molecules are approximately 80 nucleotides in length. Their secondary structure includes four short double-helical elements and three loops (D, anti-codon, and T loops).
Source: RNAcentral